UUGCACUUGCACAUGGCUGACCCAGGUUCAAUCCCCGGCAUCCUAUAUGGUCCCCCAAGCACCGCCAGGAGCCAUUCCUGAGUGCAGAACCAGGAGUAGCCUCUGAGCAUCGCUGGGUGUGGCCCAAAAAGAAAAAACAUUUUGGGUGGUUUUGUUUGGGGUGAAGGGUGCUCCC
This 175-nucleotide microRNA precursor is filed under the name Sorex araneus (European shrew). RNAcentral describes it as "miRNA (ENSSARG00000015151.1)". The record is from RNAcentral. Lineage: Eukaryota; Metazoa; Chordata; Mammalia; Eulipotyphla; Soricidae.